AUGAUACAUCAGCCUGAUGAAAGCGUAACUAACUUCACUGGGAAUCGCACCUGGGAAGUUUUUUCACCUAGGCAAAUGAGGGAGGGUGAUGUAAUGGACUUCCUCAUGGAUGAUUGGAAGCAAGAUCCGGAGAGAAAUGUUGAUUUCGCAUCUGGGAAAAGGAUAUUGCUGAGUCCAUAUUUCAUCACGGUUGUGCUUGACUAUUCGUUUUACGAGGAUGAAAAUAAAGUGUUUAAUGUGGAGAGUGCAGCGAGAGAUUUCAAGAGCUAUGUUAAAGCUAAUGAAGACUUGCUUAGUGCCGACCUUAUCAUGAUGCCUCUAUUCAAGCCUAUGGUUUUAUCAAAGGAUAGGAAAGUGAACCACUAUUCCUUAUAUGUCAUGAAUCGGUAG
Molecule: ribosomal RNA, 390 nt
Filed under: Triticum aestivum (bread wheat)
Lineage: Eukaryota; Viridiplantae; Streptophyta; Magnoliopsida; Poales; Poaceae
Description: partial small subunit ribosomal RNA
Source: RNAcentral